This 345-nucleotide ribosomal RNA is filed under the name Scymnus godavariensis. Its description in RNAcentral is "partial small subunit ribosomal RNA". Lineage: Eukaryota; Metazoa; Arthropoda; Insecta; Coleoptera; Coccinellidae. The record is from RNAcentral.
UUAAAAUGUAACUUAUAAGACUGAAUUAUUAAUAGCUAUGUUCUUUAAAAUUAAAUAAUUUGGCGGUAUUUUAGUCUUUUCAGAGGAACCUGUUCUUUAAUUGAUAACCCACAAUUUUAUAAACUUAAAUUAGUAAUUUACAUAUCGUCGUUAUUAAGUAUUUUUAUAGGAUAUAAUACUUAGGUUAUUUAAUUAAAUUUUAAUUCAGAUCAUGGUGUAGUUUAUAUUUAAGUAGUAAUGGGUUACUAUAUAUUAAUAUUAGAUUAUUAAAUUAAAAUUUGUAUGAAAAUGGAUUUGAAAGUAAUUAAUUUUAUUUUUUAUUAAUGAUUAAGCUCUAAAAUAUGC